AAAAAGAGCAUCAUUUUUUCUAGCUGGUAAACAGAUUCUUUUUUAUGAUUUUUAAGGUAGAAAAAGUAGAAAUAUCCAUUCUAGGUUCAUUUUUCUAAGGGUUUAAAAUUUGAAUCCUCAGUGAACCAGGGCAGAGAAGAAUGAUGAAAUCCUUGAGAGUUUUACUAGUGAUCCUGUGGCUUCAGUUGAGCUGGGUUUGGAGCCAACAGAAGGUGGAGCAGAAUUCUGGACCCCUCAGUGUUCCAGAGGGAGCCAUUGCCUCUCUCAACUGCACUUAUAGUGACCGUGGUUCUCAGUCCUUCUUCUGGUACAGACAAUAUUCUGGGCAAAGCCCUGAGUUGCUGAUGUCCACAUACUCAAGUGGUGACAAAGAAGAUGGAAGAUUUACAGCACAGCUCAAUAGAGCCAGCCAGUAUGUUUCUCUGCUCAUCAGAGACUCCCAGCUCAGUGAUUCAGCCACCUACCUCUGUGCCGUGAACACACAGUGCUCUCUAGACACUGGCAGUCUGUACCCAAACCUGCUAUGCCCCAGGAAUACCUGA
Cercocebus atys (sooty mangabey) is the source of this 542-nucleotide non-coding RNA. The record is from the annotation of a RefSeq genome assembly. NCBI's taxonomy places the organism in Eukaryota, Metazoa, Chordata, Mammalia, Primates, Cercopithecidae.